Haliotis rubra (blacklip abalone) is the source of this 308-nucleotide long non-coding RNA. RefSeq lists it as uncharacterized. The record is from RefSeq and is a predicted model, not a curated record. The transcript has 2 exons. Lineage: Eukaryota; Metazoa; Mollusca; Gastropoda; Lepetellida; Haliotidae.
GAAUUCUUUGGUCGUGAGAGAAACUUGAAAGGACUGAAAAGGGCAUCCAUUCAGCUUGUAAACUGCACAUUGACAGAUGCAAUGAAGCUGUUGAGUCAUUCAGAGGUACAAUGGCUACCAGCCCGAACAUCCAGUUCAUGGGAAUUCAUGUUCACUAUCUGUAUGGCAUCGACAAGAAAUUAAAUGACAAAGAGAAAAUUGAGAAACGGGAGAAACGGAAUUUGAAACUAACAGAACUCACAAAAUAUGUCUCAGCUCUAAGAAAUUCUAAUGGUGGUUACUUACUUGUUCACAUUGUAGGUUUAAUC